This 301-nucleotide ribosomal RNA is filed under the name uncultured bacterium. RNAcentral describes it as "partial 16S ribosomal RNA". It matches the Rfam family "Bacterial small subunit ribosomal RNA", at positions 509 to 807 of the family's 1533-position model. The record is from RNAcentral.
CAGCAGCCGCGGGAAUACGAGGGGGGCAAGCGUUGUUCGGAUUUAUUGGGCGUAAAGGGUGCGUAGGCGGUUUGAUAAGUCUGAUGUGAAAUCUAUGGGCUCAACCCAUAGUCUGCAUUAGAAACUGUCGGGCUUGAGUAUGGGAGAGGUGAGUGGAAUUUCCGGUGUAGCGGUGAAAUGCGUAGAUAUCGGAAGGAACACCUGUGGCGAAAGCGGCUCACUGGACCAUAACUGACGCUGAUGCACGAAAGCUAGGGGAGCAAACAGGAUUAGAUACCCGCGUAGUCCCUGUCUCUUAUAC